Molecule: long non-coding RNA, 2104 nt
Organism: Macaca mulatta (Rhesus monkey)
Lineage: Eukaryota; Metazoa; Chordata; Mammalia; Primates; Cercopithecidae
Source: RefSeq, a predicted model, not a curated record
CUCUCCUCAACACGUGGAGAUUACAGUUUGAGAUGAGAUUUGAGUGGGGAGACAGAGCCAAACCAUAUCAGAGUCAGUCCUCAUUCUGUGUUAACCCCUGAAAACUCAGUGCUAUUAAAUGUUGAAGUUGCCCUGUUUGAAACCUUCCCUUCAGCUACUAUGUUUAGUAAAUUGAACUAAAUGAAUUAUCUUGCUUUCUGUUAAGUGACUCCUUUAUGCUAAUGAUUUGUGGUGCCAUAUCUCUAGGCCCAACCUAAGUUUUGAGCUGCUCAACAUUUACACCUGGAUGUCCCACCAGCACUUCGAUUUGAAUGAGUGUAGUUUGAACAAGUAUGGUUCCCCUGCCAUGUGUUACAGAUUUUUUUUUAUAGUAAUUUCAUUGAGAUAUAAUUUACAUAUCAUACAAUUUACCAAAUUCAAGUGUACAAUUCUAUGACAUUUAGUGUUUUCAGGGUUGUACAACCAUCACUAUAAUGAAUUUAAAAACAUUUUCAUCACCCCAAAAGGAAACUCAUACCAUUUGCCCUAUCAUAGCCUAAUCCCUCCACCAUCCACCCACUCCCCCAGUGCUAAGCAACUAUAAAUCUACUUUUUGUCUCUAGAUUUGUCUCCAUUCUGGACAUGUCAUACAAAUGAAAUCAUAAUAUGUGAUCUUUUGUGAUUGGUUUCUUUCACUUAGCAUAGCAUUUUCAAAGUUCAUCUGUGUUGUAACAUAGCAUGUUAGUGUUUCCACCCUUUUUAUGGCUAAAUAAGAUAUACCACAUUUUGUUCAUUCAUCAAUUGGUGGACAUUUGGGUAGUUUUUGACAUUUAGUUAUAAUGAGUAAUGCUAUUAUGAAGAUUUGUGUAUACAUUUUUAUGUGUACUUGUGUUUCUAUUUCUCAAGUAUGUACCUAGAAGUGGAAUUGCUGCAUCAAAUAGUAAAUAUGUUCAAUUUUUUGAGUAACUGCCUGUUUUCCAAAGUUGCCACACCAUUUUACAUUCCUAUCAGCAGUGUGUAUGGAUUCUAAUUUUUCUGCAUCCUCACCAUCACUUGUUAUUAUCUGACUUUUUAUUAUAACUUUCCUAAUGGGUAUAAAGUGGUAUCUCACUGUGGUUUUGUCUUACCCUGUUUCUCUUAAAGCUACCAUAAGCCACCGAGUUUCCCAGAAACACUUGAAUAUCUCCAAUCCAUUUUACCAUCUACUAUUGCCACUAGACGUCCAAGUGCUUGUCCUCUAUCACUUGAAUUAUUAUGACAACCUUAGCUAUAUAACUGACCUUCUUUUUUCCACCCUCUUCCCAUUGCCCAGCCAAAAAAAUCGCAUUAAACACCACUUGUAAUAUAAUGUACAGCUUAAAAGCCUGAGAAGUAUAGAAAGGAAAAACUUUCUGGGAAGCUUACAGUGGAAAAACCUAGCAAACAUUUUAAAUGAAGUGAUCGAGAUUAACAUCAGCAAUGAUGUGUCCUCUAAAAUAAUGUGAUAAAAAUACCUGUGUGGUAUUUUUCCUAAAACCUUUACCUCCAGGCUAAUCAUGAGAAAAUGUCCGACAAACCCAAAUUGAGGAAUAUUCGACAAACUUUCUGAUCAGCACCCCUCAAAACUGUGAAGUUCACGAAAAACAAGGGAAGACUGAGAAGAGGAACUCAGAGUGAGGAGAUUAUGGAGACCAUGACAACUAAAUGUUUUGUGGGAUCCUAUAUUGACUCCUGGAAAAGAAAAAGCACAUUAAUGGAAAAACCAGUGAAAUCUGAAUGAGGACUGGCUUUCAGAUGUUCUUCCAGUGUUCACUUUUAUUUUCAUCUGAAAGUGACAAAAUUGAACACAACUCUGAAAGCCCCUCUUCAUAAGAUGAGCAUACUGUGGACCUAGUGGGGAGCUAGGAAUUAGAAAUCAUUGCCUCUAAACCAGGGGAAUUUGUGGACUAUUUCUGUCGGGACUCAGUGACCUAAAGGAAUUGACCUACUGAGCAAUUUCUUUCAGUCUCCACCGUGUGAGUAAGUCAUGAAAACAACUCAAGGUAAGACAUAUAUAUUUAUGGCUGCACACGGUGGCUGAAGCCUGUAAUCCCAGCACUUUGGGAGACCACAGUGGGUGGAUCACCUGAGGUCAGGAGUUUGAGAC